RNAcentral lists this ribosomal RNA (301 nucleotides) under uncultured bacterium. RNAcentral describes it as "partial 16S ribosomal RNA". It matches the Rfam family "Bacterial small subunit ribosomal RNA", at positions 509 to 807 of the family's 1533-position model. The record is from RNAcentral.
CAGCCGCCACGGUAAUACGUAGGUGGCAAGCGUUGUCCGGAAUUAUUGGGCGUAAAGGGCUCGCAGGCGGUUUCUUAAGUCUGAUGUGAAAGCCCCCGGCUCAACCGGGGAAGUGGCACCGAUACGAGCGGCCUCGAGGGGGGUAGGGGGCACUGGAACUUCCGGUGGAGCGGUGAAAUGCGUUGAGAUCGGAAGGAACGCCCGUGGCGAAAGCGAGUGCCUGGACCCUUUCUGACGCUGAGACGCGAAAGCCAGGGGAGCGAACGGGAUUAGAUACCCCCGUAGUCCCUGUCUCUUAUAC